Molecule: ribosomal RNA, 514 nt
Filed under: uncultured bacterium
Lineage: Bacteria
Description: bacterial SSU rRNA
Rfam family: Bacterial small subunit ribosomal RNA
Source: RNAcentral
AGAGUUUGAUCCUGGCUCAGAAUGAACGUUGGCGGCGUGGAUCAGGCAUGCAAGUCGAACGAAUCCCGCCUGGGUAACCGGGCGGGGGAAGUGGCGAAAGGGGCAGUAAGGCAUGGGUAACCUGCCCCGGACCCUGGGAUAGCCUCUCUAACGAGUGGGUAAUACCAGACGUCGUAUCCGGGUGGCAUCACCUGGCUACGGAAGCUAAGGCGGUCCGGGAGGGGCUCAUGUGGUAUUAGCUAGUUGGUGGGGUGAUGGCCCACCAAGGCGAAGAUGCCUAGCGGGUGUGAGAGCACGACCCGCGCCACUGGCACUGUGACACUGGCCAGACUCCUACGGGAGGCUGCAGUCGAGGAGCUUCGGCAAUGGGCGAAAGCCUGACCGAGCGACGCCGCGUGUGCGAUGAAGGCCUUCGGGUUGUAAAGCACUGUCGUGGGGGAGAAAGGCCCGAAAGGGCUUGAUCGACCCCAGGAGGAAGCUCGGGCUAAGUUCGUGCCAGCCGCCGCGGUAAUUC